ACAUACGACCAUAGGAACAUGAAAGCAAGGCUUCCCGUCCGCUCAGCCAUAUUUAAGCAUGUUACCGGUUGAUUAGUAGUCAGGUGGGUGACCACUGGCGAAUACCAGCUGUUGUAUGUAG
This 121-nucleotide ribosomal RNA is filed under the name Periconia digitata. Lineage: Eukaryota; Fungi; Ascomycota; Dothideomycetes; Pleosporales; Periconiaceae. The record is from RNAcentral.